AGUCGAGCGAACCCGCAAGGGUGAGCGGCGAAAGGGUCAGUAACACGAUCGAACGUCCCCCGAGGUGGAGGAUAGCGGCGGGAAACUGCCGGUAAUACUCCAUGAUCUCUCCGGAGCAAAGGUUUACCGCCUUGGGAUCGGCGAUCGUCCUAUCAGCUUGUUGGCGGGGUAACGGCCCACCAAGGCGAUGACGGGUAGCAGGUGUGAGAGCACGACCUGCGACAUCGGAACUGAGACACUGUCCGGACUCCUACGGGAGGCUGCAGCGACGAAUCUUCCGCAAUGGGCGCAAGCCUGACGGAGCGACGCCGCGUGUGGGAUGAAGCGCCUUCGGCGUGUAAACCACUGUCAGGGGGCAGAACCAAUGAUCGCCCCCAGAGGAAGAGACGGCUAACCCUGUGCCAGCAGCCGCGGUAAGACAGGGGUCUCGAGCGUUAAUCGGAAUUACUGGGCUUAAAGGGUGCGUAGGCGGGCCAGCAAGUGCUUUGUGAAAUCCCCCGGCUCAACCGGGGAACUGCGGGGCAUACUGCUGGUCUUGAGGAAGGUAGGCGCCGAGGGAACAGUAGGUGGAGCGGUGAAAUGCGUAGAUAUCUACUGGAACGCCGAUGGUGAAGACGCUCGGCUGGGCCUUUCCUGACGCUGAGGCACGAAAGCGUGGGGAGCAAACAGGAUUAGAUACCCUGGUAGUCCACGCCGUAAACGAUGCGCGCUAGAUCGGUGCGGGUCUGACCCCGGAUCGGUCGAAGUAAAAACGAUAAGCGCGCCGCCUGGGGAGUACGGUCGCAAGGCUAAAACUCAAAGAAAUUGA
Molecule: ribosomal RNA, 808 nt
Filed under: uncultured bacterium
Lineage: Bacteria
Description: bacterial SSU rRNA
Rfam family: Bacterial small subunit ribosomal RNA
Source: RNAcentral